RNAcentral lists this long non-coding RNA (206 nucleotides) under Nicotiana benthamiana. Its description in RNAcentral is "long non-coding RNA (NBEN_LNC032213)". Lineage: Eukaryota; Viridiplantae; Streptophyta; Magnoliopsida; Solanales; Solanaceae. The record is from RNAcentral.
AUUCUGCUCUCACUUAAAGGCAUUCCUUUUUUUCAUUUUACAGGAAAACAACAAGGAAAGGGGCUAAGAUCCUCGUUGACAACAUGAAUUCGUACGCAAGAUACCGAAUUGGAUCCCUUUCAUAGAUGGGAAUUGAUGAAUUAAGGAAGCAGUAGCACUCCCUCCCGAUGUUUUGCCAGAAGCUCGUUUUCCGACAGAAAGAGAAA